UCCUUUUCACCUAGGAUCCAUAGUACAAAAACUCUGUUGCUGUGCGUAAAAGCAGACUGCAAUUUGUGCUCUAUUGCCAAGGAAUCAGGUGAAAAUCUGGGUUUACUAAAUGUUGGUAGAGGAUGAUUAUUGAAGUAUGGGAAGGCUGCUGAUGGACAGUAGCUCGUUUUGAAGAUGUCUUUUUUAGGGAUUACACGCGGAGAAAGGCGAUCAGUCAAGGGGAGAGUUGGCUGGUGAAAUUGACUAAUUUCUUUUCGUUCAGGAGAACUGGCUCCAAUGGCUCCGUCUCCCAGGAUAAGUAAUCGAAAGGAUGCCAACGCCUGGCCAAGCAUGUCCUCAACUUUCUGGGCAAUCAUGAUUCUGGCCAGCCUCCUAAUCCUCUUCUGCAGUCAACUGGCUGCUGGUACUUGUGAAAUUGUCACUCUGGACAGAGAUAGCAGUCAGCCUCGGAGGACUAUAGCUAGGCAAACAGCACGAUGUGCAUGUAAAAAAGGGCAAAUCGCUGGCACGACGAGAGCACAACCAGCCUGUGUUGAUGCACGAAUUGUAAAGACAAAACAGUGGUGUGAAAUGCUUCCUUGUUUGGAAGAAGAAGGAUGUGAUUUGCUAAUAAACAAAUCAGGUUGGACUUGUACGCAACCCGGAGGCCGAGUUAAAACAACAACCGCACUAUGACGUCACGGAAUUCCCUUUCAAAAACAUAAACAAACAUGGCGGAACGCUUUGCGAGCCCGACUGGCAACGAAAAACAACUACUUGUCAAGAACAGAUACGAAAGAAACAACAAAACAGCAAACCAAAGAGGCCAUAACAACACUGAAGGUCUCCUGACAAAUGUAGCAACAAAGAAUCUUCAUAGGAGCGGUUUAGACUGUGUGAGCUACCUACCUUAGUCAAGUUUCACUGCUGUGGAUCAUCUGUUUUAUGUCAUCAGCUCAACUGUCUGUUUCUCUGUAUCGCAAAGGACAGCUUCAUUUCUGACUAUGAGCUGAAGCCUGAUCAACACCAUACUGGAGUUCAGGACAGAGGGAUGUACUGUAGAUAUCAAAGACGGGAUUGGGCAUUAGCAGUACUGUGGUUUUAAUUUUAUAUUAAAUGUUUCGUACUGCUAUUGGACUUGGUUUUGUUUUCUUGGUUAAAGCAGAAGAACCUGGAGGACACAACUUCUUUCGUGGAGAGUUUACACAAAAAACAAUAUGGGCAAGAUGGACCUGUUCUUAUGGAUUUAGCUCUCCUGGAAUGGACUCAUCUCCUCACACUCAUGUUAUUGCAGACCAAAGAACAAAGAAUAUUUUGAAGUGGACACAACGCUCUUUGUGGACAAGGUUAACUUGUAAAAUUGCAAGAGCCCUUUGAAUGAUAUAUAUUCAGCUGUCAGACAGAAAAAAUAUUACUACCUGGUUUAAAUUUUUUUUGAACUCUGCAGUGACUGGUGGUUUUCAGAGAAACUGGUCUGAGAAAAUACUGAAGAGAUAACAGUGUACUGUAUGCCCUGUCACGUAAGAGACUUGGUACUGAAGGAGCACCUUGAAUUCUAUGUUGACUUUUACACAUACUGAAGUAAAUUGUUAUUUUUUAUGAACCUG
RNA transcript from Polyodon spathula (Mississippi paddlefish), 1586 nucleotides. It is a transcript of the gene named chemokine-like protein TAFA-5, with no coding region annotated. The transcript has 5 exons. The record is from RefSeq and is a predicted model, not a curated record. NCBI's taxonomy places the organism in Eukaryota, Metazoa, Chordata, Actinopteri, Acipenseriformes, Polyodontidae.